CCUUUCCCAGGCCGUGACAUGAUUAAUCGUUUUCUUCUGAUCUAAUUUUGGAACAUGAAAAACAGCACAUUUGUCUUGAAGAAAAAUGAUGUGCCGAACUGCGCAGAUGGAAAUUUCGAGCAAUGAGAAAGAUUAAAGUGAAACCCCACUCCUUAGACCUAAUCAUGAGUUGUAGAUUAUUCUGUCGGCCCAGCCAGAUGGUAGCUCUGAUUCCACAGACCCUUCUUAUAUUAAUGAAUACUAGACUGUUAUAUUUGACUUAGGAACCUGGAAGGGCCCCAGCAUCAGAAUGCCUGAGGACAGCAUGGCACUUCCAGCUCAUUGGCUUCAGACAGACAUGCCUCUGGGCUGGAGGCUCACCACCCCUCUGGGCCUAGUACUGGGUGGCUCAGGCGUUCCCUUUUCCUCCAGUCUUCUCCUCUGCGCAGUGGGGAGACUUGGAAGAGCUCGUUGCUGCACUCUGGGGAGGAGCCAGAAGAGGACCCUGACUUCCUUAUGAAGGACCCCAUGUGGCCUCUGUGAUGGUUUGAAUGUGAAAUAGCGCCCCCCCCAUAAAGAAAUGUGUUGAAUACUUGGUCCCCAGUUGUUCCUCAGUCUCUGCUUCCUGCCCACCACGAGGAUGAAGUGAGUAGCUUCCUUCUCCACAUGCUGCCAGUGUCCUGAUGUUGUUCCUUGUCAGUGGAUUGUCACAGAGCCAAGUGACCAUGAAUGGAGCCCUCUGAGACCGCGAGCUAAAACAAAUCUUGCUGUCAGAUGUUUCAUCACAGUGCCAAAAAAACGAAACUAAUACAGCUCUUUGUGGUGGUUUCGUUGCAAUCUCUAGAAAUGUAAAAAUGUUGUAUUGAAAGAGUUUGUGUGUAUAAGCCUGUCUUGUAUACCUCCCUUCUUCUUUUACAUUCCUCUGUUCAUUCAGGUUCCUCACUCAAGAAAUACGUAUUGAAGCUGAGGAAGCAGUUAAGUUGGUAGAACACUUGCUUAGCAUAAGGCCAUGGGUUUGACUCCCAGCACCUUAUGUCCAGAGCAUAGGGGACCCAAAAGCAACCCUGUAGUUGAGUCUCUUGGCUUCUAUAACCUGUAAUUAGGUCAUUCAUGGUCUCUUCCACUCCUUAAGGCCAUUUAAAAACCUUCUCAUGAGCCAGGCAUGGUGGUGCAUGCCUCUAAUCCCAGGACUCAGGAGGUAGAGGCAGGAGGAUUGCUAUGAGUUCAAGGUCAGCCCGAGACUACAAGAGUGA
Molecule: long non-coding RNA, 1232 nt
Organism: Jaculus jaculus (lesser Egyptian jerboa)
Lineage: Eukaryota; Metazoa; Chordata; Mammalia; Rodentia; Dipodidae
Exons: 3
Source: RefSeq, a predicted model, not a curated record